AAUUGGAAACAAUGAAGUAGAAGGUGAAUUGCCUGGUACCUUGUUUUCAAAUCUUUCUCUAAUGGAGUAUAUAGUUCUAAGUUGGAAUCGAUUCGAAGGCGAAAUUCCUGAUGUUUUGUGGUCAUUGUCCCACUCGAGGAUUCUAGAUAUAUCAGGGAACAACUUCACUGGUGUAGUUUCAAAUUUUACCUAUUUUUGUGUCAGUGGUGCUUCAUAUAACCUUUCAAAUAAUCUCUUCUUUGGAAAUAUGAUGAGGAUUCUUGAUAUAUCAGGGAACAACUUCACUGGUGUAGUUUCAAAUUUUACCUAUUUUUGUGUCAGUGGUGCUUCAUAUAACCUUUCAAAUAAUCUCUUCUUUGGAAAUAUGACGUUUGAUAAUCGGAAUUUUCAAUCAAUUGAUCUGUCAAACAACUAUUUUCAAGGUCUAGCACCAAAUAAUUCUGCCAUUCAAGUUAUGAGUAAUUGCUUUACAAGGU
RNAcentral lists this long non-coding RNA (476 nucleotides) under Nicotiana benthamiana. Its description in RNAcentral is "long non-coding RNA (NBEN_LNC041392)". Lineage: Eukaryota; Viridiplantae; Streptophyta; Magnoliopsida; Solanales; Solanaceae. The record is from RNAcentral.